Molecule: long non-coding RNA, 1524 nt
Organism: Cyprinodon variegatus (sheepshead minnow)
Lineage: Eukaryota; Metazoa; Chordata; Actinopteri; Cyprinodontiformes; Cyprinodontidae
Exons: 5
Source: RefSeq, a predicted model, not a curated record
AAGAAGCUGGAAGCUCAUCAAAGUUUCAUUAAGCAUUGCAGCAAUGGGUUUUACAGUUUUCCUCCAAGCAUUUUCUCUCCUUCUGCUUCUUCAUACUCUGCCUUCUUCAGCUGUAGACCCAUCGGCAUGCAAAGCAAUGUGGGUUUUUAAGGCUCCUUGCACCAACACACAAAGUGGAACAGGCGGAGGCUUUGAUACCUUAUCCCUGUGCUCUUUUGGAGGAGUGUUAUUAUAAGGUUAUACAGGUUGCUCCUUAUUAUCUUGAAUUAGAGUGUUGUUACCCAUUUCUCGGUAAAAUAGCAAAUAUCGUCUUUACAUUCAGUUCAACUACAUCUCCAUAUUUCUGCCUAAUGAAGGGCCUUGCCACCAAUUUAUCUCCUUCAGAAACAAAGCCUUACUGCCACCUCCAAAAUGUUAUUAAUGAAAGUGGUCUCAGCAAGUUCCCUGGCUACAAGGAGUUCUGCAACAAACGCCUCUGUCCUUCAUAUGAAUCAAAAAAAUGCAACAUCUGAAUGUAAAUAACCUAAUUUCUGUUUUUCUCAUUUUCUUAUGUCAUUUGCUUUUUAAUUCAGAAAUUAUUUCAAGAUUAUCUCCUUGCUGUUACUAAACUCUCACUAAAUGACGCUUUGCUCAGAAUGAGGGUUUGUGGGUUGGCUGCUACCUUGGCCAGGUCUCUCUUGAAAAAGAGAUUCUGAAUCUCAAUGGGACUUCCUGGUUAAAUAAAGGUUAAAUAAAAAAAAUAAAUAAAAAAAAUGAACACACAAAAUGCUGACAGAAAUUAAAAGCACUUUAAAAUAAGUAUCUUUCAAGUAUGCCCUUAAAGAAUUAUAAAACUCUCAUAGAGGGAAAGUAAAAGGAAAACUCUUUGAAGACAAGUUAGAGCACUUGGAGAAGGCAAAGAAAAUAUGUAAAUGGAAAUGUAGCAUGUAGUAUUUAUAUAAAGUACAGUUUGUGGGUGUCAUAAUAUUUAAAAUUCUAUUUUAGGUUCCUUUCUAUGUCUCUGUUUUCUUGUAUUUUCUUGUUUUUUAAGGUUUUUCUAUAUCAGUUUAUCUUAGUGUUUGUUAUUGUUAUAUAUUUUCUAGUUUUAUUAUUAUUAGUAUUAAUAUGGUCUAUAUCAUGAAACCAUGAUAAAGGCAUUAAGCAGAGACUUUCCAGACAGCCUGGCCUCAUCUUGAUUUUAUGGAAGCAAUAACACAUAAGUUGUCAUGGUGUUUUAUUCUGUGCAGAUAGCUUGCUCCAGACCAGGCUUACAGCCAUGCUGACUCCAUUCUGGUUCCUUUUCUGCUCAGUCUGUCAUAAAACCGAUCAGAAAAUUUGCCCUAGGCAUGGAGUUUGGAUGUAAUCACUAAAACCACGCCCUAUGGACAUGGAUAAUACACGCACCUUAGUUUAGUUUUGUCAUCAAUUUAAUGUUUCUUUUUCAAUAACUCUUCAGUGCAAUAUUCAAUAACUAAGUCCAAUAUUUAUUUAUUGAUGUUACUUCUUCAAUAACUCAGUGCAAUAUAUAUAUGUAUGUAUAUAUAU